This 492-nucleotide ribosomal RNA is filed under the name uncultured bacterium. Its description in RNAcentral is "partial 16S ribosomal RNA". It matches the Rfam family "Bacterial small subunit ribosomal RNA", at positions 29 to 507 of the family's 1533-position model. The record is from RNAcentral.
AGUGAACGCUGGCGGUAGGCCUAACACAUGCAAGUCGAACGGCAGCACAGUAAGAGCUUGCUCUUACGGGUGGCGAGUGGCGGACGGGUGAGGAAUACAUCGGAAUCUACUUUUUCGUGGGGGAUAACGUAGGGAAACUUACGCUAAUACCGCAUACGACCUACGGGUGAAAGCAGGGGAUCUUCGGACCUUGCGCGAUUGAAUGAGCCGAUGUCGGAUUAGCUAGUUGGCGGGGUAAAGGCCCACCAAGGCGACGAUCCGUAGCUGGUCUGAGAGGAUGAUCAGCCACACUGGAACUGAGACACGGUCCAGACUCCUACGGGAGGCAGCAGUGGGGAAUAUUGGACAAUGGGCGCAGGCCUGAUCCAGCCAUACCGCGUGGGUGAAGAAGGCCUUCGGGUUGUAAAGCCCUUUUGUUGGGAAAGAAAAGCAGUAGGUUAAUACCCCGCUGUUCUGACGGUACCCAAAGAAUAAGCACCGGCUAACUUCGUG